RNAcentral lists this ribosomal RNA (253 nucleotides) under uncultured bacterium. RNAcentral's name for it is "partial 16S ribosomal RNA". It matches the Rfam family "Bacterial small subunit ribosomal RNA", at positions 524 to 776 of the family's 1533-position model. The record is from RNAcentral.
UACGGGGGGGGUAAGCGUUGUUCGGAAUUACUGGGCGUAAAGGGCUCGUAGGCGGCCAACUAAGUCAGACGUGAAAUCCCUCAGCUUAACUGGGGAACUGCGUCUGAUACUGGAUGGCUUGGAUUCGGGAGAGGAAUGCGGAAUUCCAGGUGUAGCGGUGAAAUGCGUAGAUAUCUGGAGGAACACCGGUGGCGAAGGCGGCAUUCCGGACCGACAUUGACGCUGAGGAGCGAAAGCCAGGGGAGCAAACGGG